CCAGACUCCUACGGGAGGCAGCAGUGGGGAAUAUUGCACAAUGGGGGAAACCCUGAUGCAGCGACGCCGCGUGAAGGAUGAAGUAUUUCGGUAUGUAAACUUCUAUCAGCAGGGAAGAAAAUGACGGUACCUGACUAAGAAGCCCCGGCUAACUACGUGCCAGCAGCCGCGGUAAUACGUAGGGGGCAAGCGUUAUCCGGAUUUACUGGGUGUAAAGGGGGCGCAGACGGCGAUGCAAGCCAGGAGUGAAAGCCCGGGGCCCAACCCCGGGACUGCUCUUGGAACUGCGCGGCUGGAGUACAGGAGGGGCAGGCGGAAUUCCUGGUGUAGCGGUGAAAUGCGUAGAUAUCAGGAGGAACACCGGUGGCGAAGGCGGCCUGCUGGACUGCGACUGACGUUGAGGCCCGAAAGCGUGGGGAGCAAACAGGAUUAGAUACCCGAGUAC
Molecule: ribosomal RNA, 445 nt
Filed under: uncultured bacterium
Lineage: Bacteria
Description: partial 16S ribosomal RNA
Rfam family: Bacterial small subunit ribosomal RNA
Source: RNAcentral